AUUGAACGCUGGCGUCAGGCCUAACACAUGCAAGUCGCACGAGUGGCGGACGGGUGAGUAAUGUCUGGGAAACUGCCCGAUGGAGGGGGAUCCCUACUGGAAACGGUAUCUAAUACCGCAUACCAUCGGAUUUGCCCAGAUGGUAUUAGCUAGUAGGUGGGGUAACGGCUCACAUAGGCGACGAUCCCUAGCUGGUCUUAGCUGAUGACCAGCCACACUGGAAAUGAGACACGGUCCAGACUCCUACGGGAGGCAGCAGGGGGGAAUAUUGCACAAUGGGCGCAAGCCUGAUGCAGCCAUGCCGCGUGUAUGAAGAAGGACUUCGGGUUGUAAAGUACUUUCAGCGAGGAGGCGUUACUCGCAGAAGAAGCACCGGCUAACUCCGGGCCAGCAGCCGCGGUAAUAC
This 406-nucleotide ribosomal RNA is filed under the name uncultured bacterium. RNAcentral's name for it is "partial 16S ribosomal RNA". It matches the Rfam family "Bacterial small subunit ribosomal RNA", at positions 30 to 526 of the family's 1533-position model. The record is from RNAcentral.